This 253-nucleotide ribosomal RNA is filed under the name uncultured bacterium. Its description in RNAcentral is "partial 16S ribosomal RNA". It matches the Rfam family "Bacterial small subunit ribosomal RNA", at positions 524 to 776 of the family's 1533-position model. The record is from RNAcentral.
UACGGGGGGGGCAAGCGUUGUUCGGAAUUACUGGGCGUAAAGGGCCAGUAGGCGGCCAACUAAGUCCGACGUGAAAUCCCAAGGCUUAACCUUGGAACUGCGUCGGAUACUGGAUGGCUUGAAUUCGGGAGAGGGAUGCAGAAUUCCAGGUGUAGCGGUGAAAUGCGUAGAUAUCUGGAGGAAUACCGGUGGCGAAGGCGGCAUCCUGGACCAUAACUGACGCUGAGGCGCGAAAGCUAGGGGAGCAAACGGG